Molecule: long non-coding RNA, 780 nt
Organism: Erigeron canadensis
Lineage: Eukaryota; Viridiplantae; Streptophyta; Magnoliopsida; Asterales; Asteraceae
Exons: 2
Source: RefSeq, a predicted model, not a curated record
CCAUCGCCGUCAUCAUUCUUUCGUUGCCACAAAAUCCGUACCUUGUCACCAUCUGACCAAAGGCACCUCCUUACAUGUGUGUUCUUUUUUAAUAUGGAGGCAAAAACUUAAAAAGAUAUGAUUUCGGUUGUCAAAUAACGAAAACAUCAACAGUAGAAUCUUUUUUUUAUUGUGUAGUAUCUUUUAUAUACACAAUCUAUGAAACACAUGUUGGAUCUCAACCACCACCACAACAUCUCCAUCCUCGGAUGUCAUCCACCAGAUCCGACCACCACCAUAACUACGUCUGUUAGAAAAAAACUAAAAAAGAUUAAGCGUGCCUUCCUCUCCAUUGUUCAUGGUGGCGCCGAUAAUGGACUGGUUGGCCGAAAUCGAGUCGGUUUCAUUUUCCGGUGAAAAGCUCUUGCUUCAGAAGAAUCCGGUGAAUGUCUACCGGAAAUUUGAUUAUUCAUCGCCGGUGGCAUCUCCGAGCAACCACUGCCAAUAGCCUUGUUUUCUCAUCGAUCAAAUGGGUUUGAAGAUGAGAUUGAUUAAUCAGAUGUCUCGGGCUUGUUGCGGGUUGUAUGUCGAUUCACGUGAUGACGUGAUCCAUAUCAAGUUUCUGGAUCUUUUGCGUGGCUAUAUUGUCUGAAUUGAAAAGAAGAAAAGUUUUAUCAUGUAUAAUUUGUGUGGUUGAAACAAGUACAAAUAAUUUUUUUUUAUUAAAAUUUACAAUAGUUGUAAUUAAAUGAUAAAAACUGAAAUUUGUGUGCAAUAUGCAUCUACUAAUUUGAUAGUCAA